RNAcentral lists this long non-coding RNA (1024 nucleotides) under Citrus maxima (pomelo). Its description in RNAcentral is "long non-coding RNA (CMAX_LNC000691)". Lineage: Eukaryota; Viridiplantae; Streptophyta; Magnoliopsida; Sapindales; Rutaceae. The record is from RNAcentral.
UCAAUAUAUGGUCCAACUAGAUGCCUCGUGACUUUUCUCACCCGACUAACAGCGAGUCAAGAUAUCUACACCGUCACCGUCACUGCACUUACCGCAUUCAGAAUUUUCAGAUCCACCUGUCCAUAACCUUCCCCAGGUCACUGCCACCGGAGUCCCCGCCACCACCAUAGCUCCAAUCGCCAUCAGUCCCUAAUUACCAAAUCACCAACCCAACAGCUCACAUCCGCCUAACAGGCCGAUAUCCUUCGUUUGAUAUUUUUCUUUUGUUUUUCUUUUAUUUAUUUUGAGUCUCCUAAUUAUUUUAUGUUUUAAUUUUUUUCUAAUUUUUUAAUUUUUCUAUUUCCUUUUCUUUAUGGUGCUUGUUUUCUGCUCCCGAGAUCUUUUAUAUAUGAUCGUAAAUGGUGUCGAUUCACAGUUUGGAUCAGAAUCGUAGCAGUGUUGAGAUGGAGAGAGUUUGCUUAUAUUGGAGUUGAUGAAUAAUUCUUUUUUUUCGUUUACCAUCUGAUUUCCAGCGAUGGUCCCGACUAAUCCUUUGAGAUAUAAUCACAGUUAAGAUUCCUUAUUCUUCUCAAAUGAUAUAUUUAGUGGAAAUCAAACUCGAGAGUUGAUGAAUAAUUCUAAUGGUGGUGCAAUGAGAUUUCGAUGACCUGGCCAUGUCGCUGAUGGCAUGGGUUGAGGCCUCAUCGAGAGUCAGGCUGGGAAUACUUGAAAUGAAGUGGUUAUCAUUGCUGAGGUUUUGUAGUUUUUUAGUUCUGUUUUGUAGUUAAUUAGCAUUAUGUUGUGGUGUAUUCUAUUAUUUUUUAUAUUCUUAUUUUCUUAUCCCAUAUAUUGUGCAAUAUGGUCUUGUAUUUAUGUCUAUAAUAUAUUAUAUUGUUAGUCAUUAUUAAUCUUCAAUGAUUGUGUUUGUAUAAAUAUAUAUAUAUAUAUAUAUAUAUAUAUAUAUAUAUAUAUAUAUAUAUAUAUGUAGCAUAUUCCAAGAAGGUUUUGACAAAAAAAAAGUUGUUUGGUCCACUGAAAACUGUAC